CCUACGGGAGGCAGCAGUAGGGAAUCUUCCACAAUGGACGAAAGUCUGAUGGAGCAACGCCGCGUGAGCGAAGAAGGUUUUCGGAUCGUAAAGCUCUGUUGUGAGGGAAGAACACGUGCGGGAGUAACUGCCCGCGCAUUGACGGUACCUCAUUAGAAAGCCACGGCUAACUACGUGCCAGCAGCCGCGGUAAU
RNAcentral lists this ribosomal RNA (194 nucleotides) under uncultured bacterium. RNAcentral describes it as "partial 16S ribosomal RNA". It matches the Rfam family "Bacterial small subunit ribosomal RNA", at positions 338 to 524 of the family's 1533-position model. The record is from RNAcentral.